CAGCCGCCGCGGUAAAACCAGCACCUCAAGUGGUCAAGAUGAUUAUUGGGCCUAAAGCAUCCGUAGCCGGCUCUGUAAGUUUUCGGUUAAAUCUGUACGCUUAACGUACAGGCUGCCGGGAAUACUGCAGAGCUAGGGAGUGGGAGAGGUAGACGGUACUCGGUAGGAAGGGGUAAAAUCCUUUGAUCUAUUGAUGACCACCUGUGGCGAAGGCGGUCUACCAGAACACGUCCGACGGUGAGGGAUGAAAGCUGGGGGAGCAAACCGGAUUAGAUACCCGGGUAGUCCCAGCUGUAAACUAUGCAAACUCAGUGAUGCAUUGGCUUGUGGCUAAUGCAGUGCUGCAGGGAAGCCGUUAAGUUUGCCGCCUGGGAAGUACGUACGCAAGUAUGAAACUUAAAGGAAUUGGCGGGGGAGCAC
Molecule: ribosomal RNA, 420 nt
Filed under: uncultured Nitrososphaerota archaeon
Lineage: Archaea; Thermoproteati; Nitrososphaerota
Description: bacterial SSU rRNA
Rfam family: Archaeal small subunit ribosomal RNA
Source: RNAcentral